RNAcentral lists this ribosomal RNA (423 nucleotides) under uncultured bacterium. Its description in RNAcentral is "partial 16S ribosomal RNA". It matches the Rfam family "Bacterial small subunit ribosomal RNA", at positions 360 to 776 of the family's 1533-position model. The record is from RNAcentral.
AAUCUUCCACAAUGGGCGAAAGCCUGAUGGAGCAACGCCGCGUGAGUGAAGAAGGUUUUCGGAUCGUAAAACUCUGUUGUAAGGGAAGAACAAGUACAGUAGUAACUGGCUGUACCUUGACGGUACCUUAUUAGAAAGCCACGGCUAACUACGUGCCAGCAGCCGCGGUAAUACGUAGGUGGCAAGCGUUGUCCGGAAUUAUUGGGCGUAAAGCCGGGGAGGGCGGUCUUUUAAGUCUGUUGUGAAGGCCAACGGUCAACCGGGGAGGGUUAUUUGGAAACGGGGGGCCUGGAGGGAGAAAAAGGAAGGGGGAAUUCAAGGUUAGGGGGGGAAAGGCUAAGGAUUUGGGGGAAACACAGUGGGGAAAGCGGAUUUUUUGGCCUGUAAUUAAGGUGAGGGGGGGAAGGGGUGGGAGCAAACAGG